UUUGGUACUUACUGCCUAUAUGA
RNAcentral lists this microRNA (23 nucleotides) under Monodelphis domestica (gray short-tailed opossum). RNAcentral describes it as "mdo-miR-12308b-3p". The record is from miRBase by way of RNAcentral. Lineage: Eukaryota; Metazoa; Chordata; Mammalia; Didelphimorphia; Didelphidae.